GAUGAACGCUGGCGGCGUGCUUAACACAUGCAAGUCGAACGAUGAAGCCCAGCUUGCUGGGUGGAUUAGUGGCGAACGGGUGAGUAACACGUGAGUAACCUGCCCUUAACUCUGGGAUAAGCCUGGGAAACUGGGUCUAAUACCGGAUAGGAGCGUCCACCGCAUGGUGGGUGUUGGGAAGAUUUAUCGGUUUUGGAUGGACUCGCGGCCUAUCAGCUUGUUUGUGGGGUAAUGGUUCACCAAGGCCACGACGGGUAGCCGGCCUGAGAGGGUGACCGGCCACACUGGGACUGAGAGACGGCCCAGACUCCUACGGGAGGCAGCAGUGGGGAAUAUUGCACAAUGGGCGCAAGCCUGAUGCAGCGACGCCGCGUGAGGGAUGACGGCCUUCGGGUUGUAAACCUCUUUCAGUAGGGAAGAAGCGAAAGUGACGGUACCUGCAGAAGAAGCACCGGCUAACUACGUG
Molecule: ribosomal RNA, 466 nt
Filed under: uncultured bacterium
Lineage: Bacteria
Description: partial 16S ribosomal RNA
Rfam family: Bacterial small subunit ribosomal RNA
Source: RNAcentral